Long non-coding RNA from Gorilla gorilla gorilla (western lowland gorilla), 300 nucleotides. RefSeq lists it as uncharacterized. The record is from RefSeq and is a predicted model, not a curated record. The transcript is spliced from 3 exons. Lineage: Eukaryota; Metazoa; Chordata; Mammalia; Primates; Hominidae.
GCCCUCUAGCUCUUUCAUGAAAGGCUGUUACUGAACAAAUGAAGAUUUAACCAGCUCAAGCAUCAAACCGCACAUUCCAGUUUGCUAAAAAGAGAUGAGUCUCACCAUGUUGCCCAGGCUGGACUUGAACUCACGGGCUCAAGCAUCCUUCCACCUCAGCCUUCCAAAAAGCUGGGAUUGCAGGCAGGAUCCACAGCACCUGGCCUCCCACCAUCUUGAAAACAAAAUGCUGAUGAGAAAACCGAAGCUCAAAGAAGAAAAAUUACUAGCCCCAAAUGGCACAGCGAGCGAGUAGAAGAG